This is a long non-coding RNA of Papilio polytes (common Mormon), 401 nucleotides long. RefSeq lists it as uncharacterized. NCBI's taxonomy places the organism in Eukaryota, Metazoa, Arthropoda, Insecta, Lepidoptera, Papilionidae. The transcript is spliced from 2 exons. The record is from RefSeq and is a predicted model, not a curated record.
UUCCUCAGUCGCUAAUUAUCCGUCACAGUAAAAACAUUAGCAGUAAAAUAUAUAAAAAUUGAAAAUUUUUUCAAAAGUAAAACAUCAUCAUCCCUUUUUCUUUAAAGUCUAUUUCAGAUAUUUGGCAAAAAUGGAAUGCGCUCACUGCAACCGUACCAUGGAUGGCUGCGCGUCUAUCAAGUGUAGCCUGUGCGCCUCGCAGUACCACCUGGAGUGCGUCAGCAGCGAGACGCUGGUGCCCAGCACGAACAAUUGGUGCUGCUGCAAGUGUAAGCCCCUCAGUACCAACGUCUUAGCGACCAGUGCCGUAGAAAACAUCAUCAAAGUAUAAAUUAUAGUGACGUCGAUCGUGUUUUGGUACCAGUGUUAUGUUCAGUCUUAUUAAAGUGUAACGUUUCUAA